Molecule: ribosomal RNA, 525 nt
Filed under: Klebsiella pneumoniae
Lineage: Bacteria; Pseudomonadati; Pseudomonadota; Gammaproteobacteria; Enterobacterales; Enterobacteriaceae
Description: bacterial SSU rRNA
Rfam family: Bacterial small subunit ribosomal RNA
Source: RNAcentral
AAAUUGAAGAGUUUGAUCAUGGCUCAGAUUGAACGCUGGCGGCAGGCCUAACACAUGCAAGUCGAGCGGUAGCACAGAGAGCUUGCUCUCGGGUGACGAGCGGCGGACGGGUGAGUAAUGUCUGGGAAACUGCCUGAUGGAGGGGGAUAACUACUGGAAACGGUAGCUAAUACCGCAUAAUGUCGCAAGACCAAAGUGGGGGACCUUCGGGCCUCAUGCCAUCAGAUGUGCCCAGAUGGGAUUAGCUAGUAGGUGGGGUAACGGCUCACCUAGGCGACGAUCCCUAGCUGGUCUGAGAGGAUGACCAGCCACACUGGAACUGAGACACGGUCCAGACUCCUACGGGAGGCAGCAGUGGGGAAUAUUGCACAAUGGGCGCAAGCCUGAUGCAGCCAUGCCGCGUGUGUGAAGAAGGCCUUCGGGUUGUAAAGCACUUUCAGCGGGGAGGAAGGCGGUGAGGUUAAUAACCUCAUCGAUUGACGUUACCCGCAGAAGAAGCACCGGCUAACUCCGUGCCAGCAGCCG